RNAcentral lists this ribosomal RNA (253 nucleotides) under uncultured bacterium. RNAcentral's name for it is "partial 16S ribosomal RNA". It matches the Rfam family "Bacterial small subunit ribosomal RNA", at positions 524 to 776 of the family's 1533-position model. The record is from RNAcentral.
GACGUAGGGCGCGAGCGUUGUCCGGAUUUAUUGGGCGUAAAGAGCUCGUAGGCGGCUUGUCGCGUCGUCCGUGAAAACCCACAGCUCAACUGUGGGCUUGCGGUCGAUACGGGCAGACUUGAGUUCGGUAGGGGAGACUGGAAUUCCUGGUGUAGCGGUGAAAUGCGCAGAUAUCAGGAGGAACACCGGUGGCGAAGGCGGGUCUCUGGGCCGAUACUGACGCUGAGGAGCGAAAGCGUGGGGAGCGAACAGG